Long non-coding RNA from Oxyura jamaicensis (ruddy duck), 287 nucleotides. RefSeq lists it as uncharacterized. The record is from RefSeq and is a predicted model, not a curated record. NCBI's taxonomy places the organism in Eukaryota, Metazoa, Chordata, Aves, Anseriformes, Anatidae. The transcript is spliced from 2 exons.
UUCUCUUUUCGAGGUGUUGUAGCUGGCUUAAGAGGGCAGAUGGAAGCAUCUGCCUCAGGGGCAGGUGUCUCACACAGGCUCAAAGGACCAAACUGCACCCUGAAGAACAGCACGAGAAGGGGGCUGGUCAUGAGCUUGGUUGGAGUGGAAUAGCCAAGUAGCGCGAGGUGACUACAGAGGGUCUCUGUCUUGCUUUGCAGGUGCCAUGGCAGGCUCUCCACAGAAGUGGCUGAGGAUUUGAGAUAAGGCUGGAGAGCGGCAAGGAGCAGCACAUGCAGUGAUGGCUU